RNAcentral lists this ribosomal RNA (922 nucleotides) under Fusarium equiseti. Its description in RNAcentral is "eukaryotic LSU rRNA". It matches the Rfam family "Eukaryotic large subunit ribosomal RNA", at positions 76 to 1030 of the family's 3401-position model. Lineage: Eukaryota; Fungi; Ascomycota; Sordariomycetes; Hypocreales; Nectriaceae. RNAcentral also lists the same sequence under 1 other name. The record is from RNAcentral.
UGCCCUAGUAACGGCGAGUGAAGCGGCAACAGCUCAAAUUUGAAAUCUGGCUCUCGGGCCCGAGUUGUAAUUUGUAGAGGAUGCUUUUGAUGCGGUGCCUUCCGAGUUCCCUGGAACGGGACGCCAUAGAGGGUGAGAGCCCCGUCUGGUUGGAUGCCAAAUCUCUGUAAAGCUCCUUCGACGAGUCGAGUAGUUUGGGAAUGCUGCUCUAAAUGGGAGGUAUAUGUCUUCUAAAGCUAAAUACCGGCCAGAGACCGAUAGCGCACAAGUAGAGUGAUCGAAAGAUGAAAAGCACUUUGAAAAGAGAGUUAAAAAGUACGUGAAAUUGUUGAAAGGGAAGCGUUUAUGACCAGACUUGGGCUUGGUUAAUCAUCUGGGGUUCUCUCCAGUGCACUUUUCCAGUCCAGGCCAGCAUCAGUUUUCGCCGGGGGAUAAAGGCUUCGGGAAUGUGGCUCUCUCCGGGGAGUGUUAUAGCCCGUUGCGUAAUACCCUGGCGGGGACUGAGGUUCGCGCAUCUGCAAGGAUGCUGGCGUAAUGGUCAUCAACGACCCGUCUUGAAACACGGACCAAGGAGUCGUCUUCGUAUGCGAGUGUUCGGGUGUCAAACCCCUACGCGUAAUGAAAGUGAACGCAGGUGAGAGCUUCGGCGCAUCAUCGACCGAUCCUGAUGUUCUCGGAUGGAUUUGAGUAAGAGCAUACGGGGCCGGACCCGAAAGAAGGUGAACUAUGCCUGUGUAGGGUGAAGCCAGAGGAAACUCUGGUGGAGGCUCGCAGCGGUUCUGACGUGCAAAUCGAUCGUCAAACAUGGGCAUGGGGGCGAAAGACUAAUCGAACCUUCUAGUAGCUGGUUUCCGCCGAAGUUUCCCUCAGGAUAGCAGUGUUGAACUCAGUUUUAUGAGGUAAAGCGAAUGAUUAGGGACUC